Molecule: ribosomal RNA, 504 nt
Filed under: uncultured bacterium
Lineage: Bacteria
Description: partial 16S ribosomal RNA
Rfam family: Bacterial small subunit ribosomal RNA
Source: RNAcentral
AUUGAACGCUGGCGGCAGGCCUAACACAUGCAAGUCGGGCGGUAGCACAGAGAGCUUGCUCUCGGGUGACAAGCGGCGGACGGGUGAGUAAUGUCUGGGAAACUGCCUGAUGGAGGGGGAUAACUACUGGAAACGGUAGCUAAUACCGCAUAACGUCGCAAGACCAAAGAGGGGGACCUUCGGGCCUCUUGCCAUCAGAUGUGCCCAGAUGGGAUUAGCUAGUAGGUGGGGUAAUAGCUCACCUAGGCGACGAUCCCUAGCUGGUCUGAGAGGCAGACCAUCCGCGCUGGGACUGGGACACGGUCCAGACUCCUACGGGGAGCAGCAGUGGGGAAUAUUGCACAAUGGGCGCAAGCCUGAUGCAGCCAUGCCGCGUGUAUGAAGAAGGCCUUCGGGUUGUAAAGUACUUUCAGCGAGGAGGAAGGCAUUGUGGUUAAUAACCACAGUGAUUGACGUUACUCGCAGAAGAAGCACCGGCUAACUCCGUGCCAGCAGCCGCCGUAA